UAUUGAAAGAGCACAACGUGUAUGAAAUUUUCAAAUUGACCCUAGACUUCCAAAAGGUUUAGCACCCCUUUCAUAAACAAUUAUCAACAAUUUAGUGUAACACCUACGAACCUUGUGUGAUGCUUGUACCAUAGAAGCAAGAGAUGCAUUCACUAUUAUAAAUGAUAUGUGCAUUGCUUUAUGCAUUUCACGUUAUGAGAGGUUUACUUCACUAUAAAUGCAGGGCCGAUCCUAGGUUCAUGGACGUUUGGGUUCUUUGCUUUUUUUUGGGGGCACCCCAGGUGUGCCUGGUCAUCUUACUAACCCCUCCCUUUUACAAAUGUCCAGUUCAGACAUGCCUGUUCCUAUGGCAACCUCUCCAUCUUUUUGUAAUCAGACACACACACACACUAACAGAUACACACUCACUGAAAAAUUGACACACACUCUCAAUGACAGACAUACAAUCGCAUCGAUUUUAUAACACACUGACACACUCUUAAUGACAGACACACAUUAUCACUUAUUUAAAACACAUACACUCACUGAAAGACACAUUUACACAUUCUUGGACACACACUCACAAAUUGAUUUUAUUUAUUGUGGUUCUAUUUUAUUUUUAGUGCCAUCCAGACUACCGUCCCUACCUUGGGGAGAG
Pelobates cultripes (western spadefoot toad) is the source of this 637-nucleotide non-coding RNA. Lineage: Eukaryota; Metazoa; Chordata; Amphibia; Anura; Pelobatidae. The record is from the annotation of a GenBank genome assembly.